CCUUCUCCUCUAUUGUUCUUAUUCUUUGUUCUUGUUAGUUACCCUUUGUCCAAGUUCUUCUCUUCCUCAGUCCUCCUCCAGUGUCUGAGAGGAUAAGGACAGCUGUUAGAAUUUGGAUUGUAAGUGAAACCCACUUUUCAGCCUUCUUGUUUUCCCCUUCACCCAAGUUGCAGGAGGAGAGUUGGGUUGGUGGUUCCAUAAUUGACAUUUAUAAUUUGGCCCUAAGUCUUGAGAUACAUUAAUACUUUUCCAAACUGUCACUUUAGAAUUUGAUGUAGAGCUUCUAAAUAAAAGAAGUACGACGUUUAUUUGGCCAGAGUUGAGACUUUUGGUUUUCAUGGGCGGGAAGCAAUUCUCACUCUAAAAAGAUGUUUUUAAGUAUUCUUUUAUUGACCGAGACUGGAUCUUCUUUUUAUGUCAGCUGGAAACGUACUUGCGUAGUACAAGGCUUCUGUUACGAAAUAAAAUAAUUUGUUAAAGCUGUGUCCCCUUACAUUUUGCCUACAGAUAGCUGGCACAUGCCAUGAAAAAGAACAAGAAAUCAUUCUCAGAUGUUCCCUUACUUGUUGUCCAAAGCCAAAGGUCACCAUGUAGCAGCUUUUCUAAAUUAGGAAAUCUGAAAUCUGAUCACUCUAUAUAUAAUUAUUUCAGAAGAAGCAAUGUCUAAAUAGACCUCUGGGAAAAAGCUUUCAAGGUGUUUUAUUUGAUACUGAAUGUAUUUUUUUUUUAAUUGAAGGAGGAGCUAAGUAGUAAAAGGAGAAGCUGGCUUUACUCAUAAAGUAUAAGGAUAAACUCCUCCCCUGCGAUGUGCUUUAUCAACAUCCUGAGAAGAUGCUUUCUGAGGCACCAUUAAUUAAUGCGUACCUGGGUGAUUCUCUUCUAUGGCCAACAGUCAAUCAAUGAUAUAACAUUUCCUACACAUCUUCCCACGUCCUUAAUUGAGAUGGUCAAUAAUUGUGCCCCUUCCUUAUCAAUUCAUAGAUGGGAGGAAAUAAAGUUUGGGGCUCCAUAAAGUCAGCACAAUGAGAGACAUAUGGAAGUUCCCAAGCUAGGGGGUUGAAUUGCAUCUAUAACCUACACCACAGCUUGCAGAAAGCACUGGAUCUUUAACCUACUGAGUAAGGCCAGGGAUCAAACCCCCAUCCUCACGGACACUAUGUCAGGUUCUUAACCUGCUGAGCCAGAACAAGAACCCCCCAGACCCUUGUAUCUUAAGAUUGUUCCUUUGACCCUUUAAAGGCAUCUAGGAGAACCUUUUGUGGAUAUGACCUGUGAGCUACAUCAUCUUAAUAGUUGAACACUAAGAACCAAAGUAUUACUACGAAGCCAACUGGUGUCUAGGGUUUUGUUUAGCUGUUCCUCUGAGAUGAAAAUGCAAGCAACUAUAGCAGGAUUGUAUUUAAGUGUGGCUCUUUUCACUAGCUUAUUCCCUUCCAGUGUUAUGCAAGUGCUGCCAGUUAUAUGUCCACUACCCUCUAUUAUUUCUUUUUAAUUAUUUUGUAAGAAUAACUCUAAUUAGCUUCCAUUUGUUAUAUUUUCUCAUUUAAAAGUAAUUUAAAUUUCGCUCGUGGUAUCUUCAAGCAAUAUAUUAUUGUUAAAAGGGGGAUUUGCAAAUGACACCAUCUGCCAACCAGAGGAAAGCAUAGCACUAUGUCUACACAAAGAAUACCAAUGUAUUGUUAUGUUGUGAGAUCUUGAUUUAACCCACUGAUUUUUUAAAAAUACCAACAAUUUCUAAAGAAAUAGUCAUUUCAAUUAAUAGUAUACAGUAGCUAGUUAUAGAUACAAUUUUAAGCAAGAUUUUAUAAGCACCAACACUUAGGAACAAAAAAAUAUGUUUGAAAACUGGGAACCUUAUAAAAAUGAAGGAAACAUGGGCACUGGAAUCACACAGUUGGGUUCAAGUUCCAGCUACAAACCUGUCUUACUGACAAGGGAAUGAGAAUUGCAACUUAGCUUGUAUCAGUAGACUCAUUGCCAAUAUUAAUUCUCAUUGAUAGAUACAGAUAGGCAAGUAAGACUCGUCAAUGUGUGAGGAAACCAACUGGUAAUAUUGUCACCGAACUCAACUGACAAAUGAAGUCACUAUAAUUUAUCUUUUUUUUCACUGUGGCAUUGUCGCAAUAGCAACGUAUGCCCAUCAAUAUAACUUAAUGGUUGCAUUAAUUGUUCUACAUCUCUCUUUUCGACUAUUAAUGGGGCUAUGGCAAAGAACAUGGCAUGUUUAUAUGUAUUUUCAUAGAAAGAAAAACAGAAUAUAUUCUUAAGUAGAAAAAAUAAAUUUCAGAACCUUGUGAAGUAUGACUGUGUUUUUGUUGACACAAUACAAACAUAUUCAUAUAUACAAGUAAAUCCUCAGUAAAAGGCCUGGAUCAAUGUAAUGAAGCUCUUACAGUGGUCACCUCUGCAAGGGGAAGUGGAUGAGGUGGAGGUGGGGGGGGUGCGUGAAGGGAGGCCUCAUUCUAUUCAAUUCUAUAGUCUAUGUUAUUUGGGUUGGUUUUUGAAGUAAAGAUAUAUUCAUAUAUUUCUUCCAUAAGGAAAACAUUUUAAAGUCACCCAAAAUAGUAUGUUUAAUUAUUAAGUCAGUGUAGAAUUUUUUUUAAAAGUUCCUUUUUUUUUUGGCUAUAUCUCACCCCAUGUGGAUAUUCCUAGGCCAGGGCUCAAACUCACCUCACAGCAGCAACCCAAGCCACAGCAGUGACAACACAGGAUCCUUAACCUGCCACAAGAGAACUACUAAAACUCGAUUUCUUGGAGUUCCCAUUUUGGUGCAGCAGGAUUGGCAGCCUCUCUAGUGCCAGGACACAGGUUCAAUCCCCAGCCCAGCUGGGCACAGUGGGUUAAAGAGUCUCAGAUCUGAUUCCUGGCUGGGGAAUCCUUAUGCUAUGGGGUGGCCAAAAAAGAGAGAGAGAGAGAGAGAGAGGAAAGUUCUUGAGGUAGUAUACAUCUCUCUACAGGAUCCUAUAAUAUUUUCAUUCUUUUUUAACCUGCUUUACUUUCUGAAUCCCAGAAUAACAUAUUACUGAGAAGAACAGAAACAUUUCUUCCUAAAUCCACUGAUUGGGAGCCCAUCAUGAGCCUGAGGUAGUCAUAAUGUAACCCAGCUAUUGCCUACCAGACAUUACAUGGUCAUAUAAAGUAGGACCCAAAAGAACGUUUAGAAAAUGGUCAUAGGAUGUCAUAAGCACAUGGAGAGGCGUAGGGCUGGGACAUUUUCUGUGAGGAAGGCAAGAUUGACCACCUAGGGCGAGAAGCCAAAACCAAGCAUUGAAAGAAAGAGACAUUCUUAUGGGCAAAGACAGAGGUGAUGUUUAAGGCCUAUUCAGGGGGCAGAGAUCAAGACAAAUGAAAUGCAAAGUUAAGCAUUUUCGAGAAACUUUGGGAGAAAAUGACAAGUUGUCGUGAACUGGGAAUGGACUUGUAUACUAAAUGCAAAUGUCGAAUUGUAGCUGCCAGGGGAGGUGACAAGUGGCAUAAAAAUAGAUGCUGUAUACUGAAGUGACAGAGCUAGUUUGGGAUAGAGUUGAGAAUGACAACUGUGUACAUUAUGUUUAGGUUUUGAAAACAGAAGUGUAAUAUACUAAAAGGACCAGGGUUGAGAAAACCAAGAGCUAUAUUCUCCCCUCCCUCUGCUUUUCUGGGUGGAUCUGUGUCAUGGUUUCCUUUCUUUCUGCACAUGAGCUUGUGCAGGCCACGUAGUCCACCCCGCCAUAGAUGGCCACCCCCCCAGCUCCCCCCCUGCAUGGUGUAGUCCUGUAGACAUAAGUACUGGAGUCCCUCUCACCCAAUCUCUCAUCACACCAGGAGAGAGAUCUGAUGUGCCAACCUUGCCCCUAGAACCCAUCCAGUUAUUUUCCAGUGAUUGCAUCAUGACCCUUGUGCAUUCACCCCAAAGUGGGGAUGCAGUUUGCAGGGAAAGUGGGAGAUUGACUUGUGAAUCGGAUACCUUCCCUAUCUAUUAAAUAUAUGACUGUUAGCUGUACAAUAGCCAUUGUAGAUAUUUCCCUUUUGAAACUAUCUUCAAUAAAAAUAUUAUGAAGACAUAUCUUGUGACAAAGCAUUGGUCCCAUGUCACUGCUCACACCAGUUCACCAUCAAUAACUGCAAUUUUUAUUUCAUGGACUCCUCAGGUAUGAGAGAAAAUAAGUCAAAAGGGAAACAAAGAGCCUUCCAUCUAAUCAAGGAAUAUUGAAGUCAAUCUUGGGGGAUUUUUUUUCCAUUUUUCUAAUGGAGACUGUGUCUUGAGCCAUGGCUUUCUACAUCUUAAUCUACUUAAAUGUUGUAAUCAACUGGUGUCUACAGGCUUUGAUUGCUCUUUUUCUGCCCCAUUUUACAAAUGGAAAAGAGAAGCACUUAAAGUGUCUCAAAGCUACAGGAGACUGAGGAAAAUAGACUCGAAUCAAUAAACACAUAACUUUAAAGAAAAUUCCAGAGCCCAGAAAAGGCUCUGAUACUAGAAAGAAGGCCUAGAAGAAACAAGAAUCUAUAAACCAUGAUAAGUAAGCAAUGUAAAAGUUUAACAAUUGUGAAAGGCAGCUAUUGAAGGGGUGAAUUUGUCAGCAACGCUGCAGUUAACUGGCUAGUCACUUGUAUGAUGAUAAGUCACUUGUACUAUGAUUAGUUCAGAGACAGGCAAUAUCCAAGGUGAGUGGACAUGUUCAACAAUUUGUGUAUUCUGGUGUAGGGACAUUAUCCCUAAAUUGAGCAGUUAAAAGAGAAUUUGUUGUAAAAGGGAAAAUAGCAUUUAUAGACACAGUCACGUAAAGGAGAGUGGAAUUACAAGAUUAAGUAAAUAAAACCAAAGCUAGAAUGGAAUUUAUUUUAAGUAACACAUGAAUGGCAUAGAAGUAAGGAUCAAAAUGGGUUGCAGCAACUCCGAGUUAUGAGGAAAUAAGAACUAUAGUAAAGCAGAAGCUACACAGAAUGAAAUGGUAAAAAUUAGUGAAUUUGAGGUGGGAAGCCAUAGAGUAGAACUGAGUCUGUUAAAAAUGAAGAGUAUUCCUCAUGUUUAUGGUUUUCAUUCAGAUCCGUAGGUACUCACUGGGUU
RNAcentral lists this long non-coding RNA (5047 nucleotides) under Sus scrofa (pig). Its description in RNAcentral is "lncRNA (ENSSSCG00065037085.1)". The record is from RNAcentral. Lineage: Eukaryota; Metazoa; Chordata; Mammalia; Artiodactyla; Suidae.